GAUGAACGCUGGCGGCGUGCCUAAUACAUGCAAGUCGAGCGAACGGACGAGAAGCUUGCUUCUCUGAUGUUAGCGGCGGACGGGUGAGUAGCACGUGGAUAACCUACCUAUAAGACUGGGAUAACUUCGGGAAACCGUAGCUAAUACCGGAUAAUAUUUUGAACCGCAUGGUUCAAAAGUGAAAGACGGUCUUGCUGUCACUUAUAGAUUGAUCCGCGCUGCAUUAGCUAGUUGAUAAGGUAACGGCUUACCAAGGCAACGAUGCAUAGCCGACCUGAGAGGGUAAUGAGUCACUGUAGAACUGAGACAGGGUCGAAACUCCGACGUGAGGGAGCAGUAGGGAAUCUUCCGCAAUGGGCGAAAGACUGACGGAGCAACGCCGCGUGAGUGAUGAAGUUCUUCGGAUCGUAAAACUCUGUUAUUGGGGAAGAACAUAUGUGUAAGUAACUGUGCACAUCUUGACGGUACCUAGUCAGAAAGCCACGGCUAACUACGUG
This 497-nucleotide ribosomal RNA is filed under the name uncultured bacterium. RNAcentral's name for it is "partial 16S ribosomal RNA". It matches the Rfam family "Bacterial small subunit ribosomal RNA", at positions 28 to 507 of the family's 1533-position model. The record is from RNAcentral.